UAGCCGUAAACGAUGCGCGUUAGGUGUAUCGGUGACCACGAGUCACCGAGGUGCCGAAGGGAAACCGUGAAACGUGCCGCCUGGGAAGUACGGUCGCAAGGCUGAAACUUAAAGGAAUUGGCGGGGGAGCACAACAACGGGUGGAGCUUGCGGUUUAAUUGGAUUUAACGCCGGAAAUCUUACCGGGACCGACAGCAACAUGAAGGCCAAGCUGAAGACUUUGCCGGAUUAGCUGAGAGGAGGUGCAUGGCGUAGACGUCU
This 261-nucleotide ribosomal RNA is filed under the name uncultured archaeon. RNAcentral describes it as "partial 16S ribosomal RNA". It matches the Rfam family "Archaeal small subunit ribosomal RNA", at positions 748 to 1009 of the family's 1478-position model. The record is from RNAcentral.